RNAcentral lists this transfer RNA (86 nucleotides) under Butyricicoccus sp. AM27-36. RNAcentral describes it as "tRNA-Leu". It matches the Rfam family "tRNA". From Rfam's summary of the family: Transfer RNA (tRNA) molecules are approximately 80 nucleotides in length. Their secondary structure includes four short double-helical elements and three loops (D, anti-codon, and T loops). Further hydrogen bonds mediate the characteristic L-shaped molecular structure. tRNAs have two regions of fundamental functional importance: the anti-codon, which is responsible for specific mRNA codon recognition, and the 3' end, to which the tRNAs corresponding amino acid is attached (by aminoacyl-tRNA synthetases). tRNAs cope with the degeneracy of the genetic code in two manners: having more than one tRNA (with a specific anti-codon) for a particular amino acid; and 'wobble' base-pairing, i.e. permitting non-standard base-pairing at the 3rd anti-codon position. The record is from RNAcentral. Lineage: Bacteria; Bacillati; Bacillota; Clostridia; Eubacteriales; Butyricicoccaceae.
GCGGAUGUGGCGGAAUGGCAGACGCGCUAGCUUCAGGUGCUAGUGUUCGCAAGGACGUGGGGGUUCAAGCCCCCCCAUCCGCACCA